UCCGAUUGAUCCCGUCGGACCUUACUGCUAUCGAGAUGGGACUAAACCAGGCCAGUCGAACGACCCGGACUAUGGCGGGGAGUGGCGCACUGCUCAGUAACACGUAGCUAACCUAACCUCAAGACGGAAAUAACCCCGGGAAACUGGGGUCAAUGUCCGAUAGAUGUGAAUUCCUGGAAUGGUGUCACAUCCAAACGUCAACACACCAUGUUGUGCGAACGCUUGAGGAUGGGGCUGCGGCCGAUCAGGCUGUUGGUGGGGUAAUGGCCCACCAAACCUUUGACCGGUAUGGGCCAUGAGAGUGGUAGCCCAGAGAUGGACACUGAGACAAGGGUCCAGGCCCUACGGGGCGCAGCCGGUACGAAACCUCCACAAUGCACGCAAGUGCGAUGGGGUUAUCUCGAGUGCUAUCUGAAAAAGGUAGCUUUUCCAUGGUCUAAAUAGCCGUGGGAAUAAGGGGGGGGCAAGACUGGUGUCAGCCGCCGCGGUAACACCAGCCCCCCGAGUGGUAGGGAUGUUUAUUUGGCCUAAAGCGUCCGUAGCCGGCUAAGUAAAUUUCUCGUUAAAUCCAACGUCGUAAGCGUUGGGCUGCGAGAAAGACUGCUUAGCUAGAGGGUGGGAGAGGUCAGCGGUAUUCCUGGGGUAGGGGCGAAAUCCAUUGAACCCAGGAGGACCACCAGUGGCGAAGGCUGCUGACUAGAACACGCCUGACGGUGAGGGACGAAAGCUGGGGUAGCGAAUCGGAUUAGAUACCCGAGUAGUCCCAGCCGUAAACGAUGCAGACUAGGUGUUGGGUUGGCCACGCGCCGACUCAGUGCCACAGGGAAGCCAUUAAGUCUGCCGCCUGGGAAGUACGGCCGCAAGGCUGAAACUUAAAGGAAUUGGCGGGGGAGCACCACCAGGCGUGAAGCCUGCGGUUUAAUUGGAGUCAACGCCGGGAACCUUACCGGGAGCGACAGCAGAGUGAAGGCCAGGCUAAAGGUCUUGCCAGACGAGCUGAGAGGAGGUGCAUGGCCGUCGCCAGUUCGUGCCGUGAGGUGUCCUCUUAAGUGAGGUAACGAACGAGACCCGCGCCGCAUGUUGCUAACAAGUCCUAAAGGGAUGUUGAGCACUCUUGCGGGACCGCAGCCGACAAGGCUGAGGAAGGUGCGGGCAACGGCAGGUCAGUAUGCCCCGAAUCUCCCGGGCCACACGCGGGCUGCAAUGGUAGAGACAGAGGGCUGCAACCCCGAAAGGGGAAGCCAAUCCCUAAACUCUACCUCAGUUGGGAUUGAGGGCUGCAACCC
Molecule: ribosomal RNA, 1286 nt
Filed under: metagenome
Description: bacterial SSU rRNA
Rfam family: Archaeal small subunit ribosomal RNA
Source: RNAcentral